UCCGAGUUGACCCCGGCAGUCUCCUACGAGUCCCCGGCUUUACCCGCUGGCAACAUAGGACAAGGGUUGCGCUCGUUGCGGGACUUAACCCAACAUCUCACGACACGAGCUGACGACAGCCAUGCACCACCUGUACACGAGUAUCAAAGAGACCCCCAUCUCUGGGGGCUUCCCGCGUAUGUCAAACCCAGGUAAGGUUCUUCGCGUUGCAUCGAAUUAAUCCGCAUGCUCCGCCGCUUGUGCGGCCCCCCGUCAAUUCCUUUGAGUUUUAGCCUUGCGGCCGUACUCCCCAGGCGGGGCGCUUAAUGCGUUAGCUACGGCACGGAAUCCGUCGAUAGGACCCCACACCUAGUGCCCAACGUUUACGGCGUGGACUAC
Molecule: unclassified non-coding RNA, 378 nt
Filed under: uncultured Actinomycetes bacterium
Lineage: Bacteria; Bacillati; Actinomycetota; Actinomycetes
Description: uncultured actinobacterium contains 16S-23S intergenic spacer region
Source: RNAcentral